RNAcentral lists this ribosomal RNA (255 nucleotides) under uncultured bacterium. RNAcentral describes it as "partial 16S ribosomal RNA". It matches the Rfam family "Bacterial small subunit ribosomal RNA", at positions 524 to 776 of the family's 1533-position model. The record is from RNAcentral.
GACAGAGGGUGCAAACGUUUGUUCGGAAUUACUGGGCGUAAAGCGCGUGUAGGCGGCUAAGUAAGUCGGGCGUGAAAUCCCACGGCUCAACCGUGGAAGUGCACUCGAAACUGCAUAGCUAGGACGUCUGGAGAGGAAGGUGGAAUGCUUGGUGUAGAGGUGAAAUUCGUAGAUAUCAAGCGGAACACCGGUGGCGAAGGCGGCCCUCUGGACAGUGACUGACGCUGAGACGCGAAAGCGUGGGGAGCAAACAGG